RNAcentral lists this ribosomal RNA (400 nucleotides) under uncultured bacterium. RNAcentral's name for it is "bacterial SSU rRNA". It matches the Rfam family "Bacterial small subunit ribosomal RNA", at positions 355 to 771 of the family's 1533-position model. The record is from RNAcentral.
UAGGGAAUAUUGGGCAAUGGGCGAAAGCCUGACCCAGCAACGCCGCGUGCACGAUGAAGGUCUUCGGAUCGUAAAGUGCUUUUCUGAGAGAUGAGUAAGGACAGUAUCUCAGGAAUAAGCCUCGGCUAACUACGUGCCAGCAGCCGCGGUAAAACGUAGGAGGCAAGCGUUAUCCGGAUUUACUGGGCGUAAAGCGUGUGUAGGCGGUUUGGCAAGUUGGAUGUGAAAGCUCCUGGCUUAACUAGGAGAGGUCGUUCAAUACUACCGAACUUGAGGGCAUCAGAGGAAGGUGGAAUUCCCGGUGUAGUGGUGAAAUGCGUAGAUAUCGGGAGGAACACCAGUGGCGAAGGCGGCCUUCUGGGAUGUUCCUGACGCUCAGACACGAAAGCUAGGGUAGCGA